AUCUUUAAGACUUGAUAACUACUUAUCCAUGAUCCAUGAGAUGUGAUCAUCAGUCUAUAUACAUAAUAGUCUUAAUGCUUUAAUGUUAUCCGACUUCAUCUAUAGGGUAGUUUUGGUUGCUUGUGAUGCUCUAUUUAUUGCAUUUAUGAUUAUUAUACUUUGUAUAUAUUUGCAUAUAUGUUUGCAUGCAUCAUAUUAUCAUUGUGUUGGAUUCUGUACAGGUUGGUUUCUCUGAG
This 236-nucleotide long non-coding RNA is filed under the name Lathyrus oleraceus (garden pea). Its description in RNAcentral is "Pisum sativum (pea) long non-coding RNA (PSAT_LNC020281)". Lineage: Eukaryota; Viridiplantae; Streptophyta; Magnoliopsida; Fabales; Fabaceae. The record is from RNAcentral.